AUUGAACGCUGGCGGCAUGCCUUACACAUGCAAGUCGAACGGUAACAGGUCUUCGGAUGCUGACGAGUGGCGAACGGGUGAGUAAUACAUCGGAACGUGCCUAGUAGUGGGGGAUAACUACUCGAAAGAGUGGCUAAUACCGCAUGAGAUCUACGGAUGAAAGCAGGGGAUCGCAAGACCUUGUGCUACUAGAGCGGCCGAUGGCAGAUUAGGUAGUUGGUGGGAUAAAAGCUUACCAAGCCGACGAUCUGUAGCUGGUCUGAGAGGACGAUCAGCCAGACUGGGACUGAGAAACGGCCCAGACUCCGACGGGAAGCAGCAGUGGGGAAUUUUGGACAAUGGGCGCAAGCCUGUUCCAGCAAUGCCGCGUGCAGGAUGAAGGCAUUCGGGUUGUAAACUGCUUUUGUACGGAACGAAAAGCCCCGGGUUAAUACCCUGGGGUCAUGACGGUACCGUAAGAAUAAGCACCGGCUAACUACGUGCCAGCCGCCGCCGUAA
RNAcentral lists this ribosomal RNA (498 nucleotides) under uncultured bacterium. RNAcentral's name for it is "partial 16S ribosomal RNA". It matches the Rfam family "Bacterial small subunit ribosomal RNA", at positions 30 to 523 of the family's 1533-position model. The record is from RNAcentral.